AGCAUCAUGGCGCAGCGGAAGCGCGCAGGGCUCAUAACCCUGAGGUCACUCGAUCGAAACGAGUUGAUGCUA
Molecule: transfer RNA, 72 nt
Filed under: Scleroderma citrinum Foug A
Lineage: Eukaryota; Fungi; Basidiomycota; Agaricomycetes; Boletales; Sclerodermataceae
Rfam family: tRNA
About the family: Transfer RNA (tRNA) molecules are approximately 80 nucleotides in length. Their secondary structure includes four short double-helical elements and three loops (D, anti-codon, and T loops). Further hydrogen bonds mediate the characteristic L-shaped molecular structure. tRNAs have two regions of fundamental functional importance: the anti-codon, which is responsible for specific mRNA codon recognition, and the 3' end, to which the tRNAs corresponding amino acid is attached (by aminoacyl-tRNA synthetases). tRNAs cope with the degeneracy of the genetic code in two manners: having more than one tRNA (with a specific anti-codon) for a particular amino acid; and 'wobble' base-pairing, i.e. permitting non-standard base-pairing at the 3rd anti-codon position.
Source: Rfam by way of RNAcentral